RNAcentral lists this ribosomal RNA (484 nucleotides) under uncultured bacterium. RNAcentral describes it as "partial 16S ribosomal RNA". It matches the Rfam family "Bacterial small subunit ribosomal RNA", at positions 30 to 507 of the family's 1533-position model. The record is from RNAcentral.
AUUGAACGCUGGCGGCAGGCCUAACACAUGCAAGUCGAGCGGAUGAAGGGAGCUUGCUCCUGGAUUCAGCGGCGGACGGGUGAGUAAUGCCUAGGAAUCUGCCUGGUAGUGGGGGAUAACGUCCGGAAACGGGCGCUAAUACCGCAUACGUCCUGAGGGAGAAAGUGGGAGAUCUUCGGACCUCACGCUAUCAGAUGAGCCUAGGUCGGAUUAGCUAGUUGGUGGGGUAAAGGCCUACCAAGGCGACGAUCCGUAACUGGUCUGAGAGGAUGAUCAGUCACACUGGAACUGAGACACGGUCCAGACUCCUACGGGAGGCCGCAGUGGGGAAUAUUGGACAAUGGGCGAAAGCCUGAUCCAGCCAUGCCGCGUGUGUGAAGAAGGUCUUCGGAUUGUAAAGCACUUUAAGUUGGGAGGAAGGGCAGUAAGUUAAUACCUUGCUGUUUUGACGUUACCAACAGAAUAAGCACCGGCUAACUUCGUG